RNAcentral lists this transfer RNA (73 nucleotides) under Sus scrofa (pig). It matches the Rfam family "tRNA". Rfam says of the family: Transfer RNA (tRNA) molecules are approximately 80 nucleotides in length. The record is from Rfam by way of RNAcentral. Lineage: Eukaryota; Metazoa; Chordata; Mammalia; Artiodactyla; Suidae.
UCCCUGGUAGCCUAGCAGUUAGGGAUCCCACAUUGUUACUGUUGUGGCUCAGGUUCAAUCCCUGGCCGAGGAA